GGCUCAGGAUGAACGCUAGCGGCAGGCUUAACACAUGCAAGUCGAGGGGCAGCGCGAGUAGCAAUACUUGGCGGCGACCGGCGCAAGGGUGCGUAACGCGUGAGCAACAUGCCCGUAUCAGGGGGAUAAUCCAGGGAAACUUGGUCUAAUACCCCAUAGUAAUUUUUGUAAGGCAUCUUAUAAGAUUUAAAGCUUUGGUGGAUACGGAUUGGCUCGCGUGACAUUAGCUGGAUGGUAAGGUAACGGCUUACCAUGGCUAUGAUGUCUAGGGGUUCUGAGAGGAAGGUCCCCCACACUGGAACUGAGACACGGUCCAGACUCCUACGGGAGGCAGCAGUGAGGAAUAUUGGACAAUGGAUGGAAAUCUGAUCCAGCCAUGCCGCGUGAAGGAAAGAAGGUCCUAUGGAUUGUAAACUUCUUUUGUAUGGGAGCAAUAAGGCCUACGAGUAGGUUGAUGAGAGUACCAUACGAAUAAGCACCGGCUAACUCCGUGCCAGCAGCCGC
RNAcentral lists this ribosomal RNA (504 nucleotides) under uncultured bacterium. Its description in RNAcentral is "bacterial SSU rRNA". It matches the Rfam family "Bacterial small subunit ribosomal RNA", at positions 21 to 518 of the family's 1533-position model. The record is from RNAcentral.